Scophthalmus maximus (turbot) is the source of this 2042-nucleotide RNA transcript. It is a transcript of the gene named tyrosylprotein sulfotransferase 1, with no coding region annotated. The transcript has 6 exons. Lineage: Eukaryota; Metazoa; Chordata; Actinopteri; Pleuronectiformes; Scophthalmidae. The record is from RefSeq and is a predicted model, not a curated record.
AGUCGCGCAGUAAGUUGGAGCAGUGUGGUUCGUUAUCACCUUCCGUCCGCCAGCGCAACAAACCUGUCCUCCGCGCCGCCGACGCCGCCUGUGUGCACAGAAGAUGACCGGAAAGUGACUCUGCAGGGCGGCAGGGUUAUCCGGACGUUCGCACGGGGUCCAGUGGAAGUUUUCUGCGCGUCGCAGCCGAGGCUCCUGCGCCGUAUACGCAGCAUUGGGCCAAAUGGAGCUGGGAACUCGACACCUGCUGUGCACCAGGGAGCUUGAUCCGUGCUUGGUUCCUAGCAAACAACCAUAAAGGGUGGGAACCUUAAUUAUACUUUAGUUCCUUUUUCCUACCCUCCCCUUAAAUUGCCCUUGUGGAGAUAUUAUCCUCUGGUGUCUGUGGCCUGCAACAUGAUUGGCAAACUGAAACAGAACUUGCUGGUGGCGUGUCUGGUCAUUAGCUCGGUCACGGUCCUCUAUUUGGGCCGUCAUGCCAUGGAGUGCCACCAUCGCAUCGAGGAGCGCAUUCAGCCCGUCGGAAUCAUGCCUCUGUCAGCGCUGGGUGGCAGCAUGCGGACCACCUUACGGACAGGCCAGAAUCUCAGCACACCUUUCGUUUACAACAAAGACAUGCCACUCAUCUUCAUCGGUGGUGUGCCCCGAAGUGGAACCACACUAAUGCGUGCAAUGCUGGACGCCCACCCAGAGGUGCGCUGUGGCGAGGAAACCCGUGUCAUCCCACGUAUCCUGGCAAUGAAGCAGAUGUGGAGCCGCUCAGGCCGGGAGAAGAUGCGCCUGGAUGAGGCAGGUGUGACGGAUGAGGUGCUGGAUGCUGCCAUGCAGGCCUUCCUGCUCGAAAUCAUCGUCAAACAUGGAGAGCCUGCCAAUUUCCUGUGCAACAAGGACCCUUUUGCACUAAAGUCGCUUGCCUACCUGGCCAAAAUCUUUCCCCAUGCCAAGUUUGUACUAAUGGUUCGUGAUGGCCGUGCUUCAGUCCACUCCAUGAUCUCACGGAAGGUGACCAUUGCAGGCUUUGAUCUGGGCAGCUACCGGGACUGCCUGACCAAGUGGAAUCGGGCCAUAGAGACCAUGUACACUCAGUGCCUGGAGUCUGCUGAUAAAUGCCUACCAGUGCACUACGAACAGUUGGUCCUCCAUCCUGAGAAAUGGAUGAGGACACUGCUUAAAUUCCUUGACAUUCCUUGGAAUAAAGCUGUUCUCCACCAUGAGGAGCUCAUUGGGAAAGCUGGAGGAGUGUCCCUCUCCAAGGUGGAGAGGUCCACAGACCAGGUCAUCAAGCCAGUCAAUGUGGAGGCCUUGUCCAAGUGGGUGGGGAAGAUCCCAGGAGACGUGGUGAGGGACAUGGCUGUCAUCGCACCAAUGCUGUCCAGACUGGGCUACGAUCCACACGCCAACCCUCCUAACUAUGGCAGGCCUGACCCCAACGUCCUGGACAACACCAGAAGGGUCUUUAAAGGUGAAUUUCAGCUACCAGAUUUCCUUAAAGAACAAUCACAGAUACAGAAGUCUGGAGAGAGACCCAACCCCAGUUAGAGCUGAUGGAGUGCAUCACCUCGAGAUCACAGACACACAGGUACGACUGGACGUGACAUCACAAACACACAGGAGCUGGUGCAGUAGAGCAGAAGAUCGUGGACGUCAUCUCAGCCAUCUCACCAUGUGUGUCGGAUCGUUUCCUCCACCAAUAAUCAUCUACGGAGAACUCUUGGCCUUUGAUUAUGUACUGUACAAAAAGAAAUACUACAGGUUCUCACAACCACAGAAUGUCUGCUGAUUGUUACUUGUCACAUCACACGUUGAUUUGUAGAAGUGAUCUCUGGCUAUUUAGAAAAAAAAAACUUUGUGAUGCUGUUGUAGGAAACCGCAGUGAACUGGAAUCACAAGUAUUUAUGAAUGGAAAAUUAGCUUUUGGAAGAUGCAAUACCUAUUUUAAUGUUCAAUGUUUUUUUUUCUUUCAUGCCUUUGUAUUGUGCAAUGUCAUGGGUACUGAUCAGUUUCAUGUAUCAACCGUGAUAAAAAAUGCUUCUUUUUUUAAA